UGGGCGUUAAGUUGCAGGGUAUAGACCCGAAACCCGGUGAUCUAGCCAUGGGCAGGUUGAAGGUUGGGUAACACUAACUGGAGGACCGAACCGACUAAUGUUGAAAAAUUAGCGGAUGACCUGUGGCUGGGGGUGAAAGGCCAAUCAAACCGGGAGAUAGCUGGUUCUCCCCGAAAGCUAUUUAGGUAGCGCCUCGUGAAUUCAUCUCCGGGGGUAGAGCACUGUUUCGGCUAGGGGGCCAUCCCGGCUUACCAACCCGAUGCAAACUGCGAAUACCGGAGAAUGUUAUCACGGGAGACACACGGCGGGUGCUAACGUCCGUCGUGAAGAGGGAAACAACCCAGACCGCCAGCUAAGGUCCCAAAGUCAUGGUUAAGUGGGAAACGAUGUGGGAAGGCCCAGACAGCCAGGAUGUUGGCUUAGAAGCAGCCAUCAUUUAAAGAAAGCGUAAUAGCUCACUGGUCGAGUCGGCCUGCGCGGAAGAUGUAACGGGGCUAAACCAUGCACCGAAGCUGCGGCAGCGACACUCAGGUGUUGUUGGGUAGGGGAGCGUUCUGUAAGCCUGCGAAGGUGGCCUGUGAGGGUUGCUGGAGGUAUCAGAAGUGCGAAUGCUGACAUAAGUAACGAUAAAGCGGGUGAAAAGCCCGCUCGCCGGAAGACCAAGGGUUCCUGUCCAACGUUAAUCGGGGCAGGGUGAGUCGACCCCUAAGGCGAGGCCGAAAGGCGUAGUCGAUGGGAAACGGGUUAAUAUUCCCGUACUUGGUGUUACUGCGAAGGGGGGACGGAGAAGGCUAUGUUGGCCGGGCGACGGUU
This 813-nucleotide ribosomal RNA is filed under the name Salmonella enterica subsp. enterica serovar Rubislaw. RNAcentral's name for it is "partial 23S ribosomal RNA". It matches the Rfam family "Bacterial large subunit ribosomal RNA", at positions 689 to 1503 of the family's 2925-position model. The record is from RNAcentral. RNAcentral also lists the same sequence under 1 other name. Lineage: Bacteria; Pseudomonadati; Pseudomonadota; Gammaproteobacteria; Enterobacterales; Enterobacteriaceae.